RNAcentral lists this ribosomal RNA (253 nucleotides) under uncultured bacterium. Its description in RNAcentral is "partial 16S ribosomal RNA". It matches the Rfam family "Bacterial small subunit ribosomal RNA", at positions 524 to 776 of the family's 1533-position model. The record is from RNAcentral.
UACGUAGGGUGCGAGCGUUAAUCGGAAUUACUGGGCGUAAAGCGUGCGCAGGCGGUUCGUCGUGUCGGUCGUGAAAGCCCCGGGCUCAACCUGGGAAUGGCGAUGGAAACUGGCGAACUGGAGUGUGGCAGAGGGGGGUGGAAUUCCGCGUGUAGCAGUGAAAUGCGUAGAGAUGCGGAGGAACACCGAUGGCGAAGGCAGCCCCCUGGGUUAACACUGACGCUCAGGCACGAAAGCGUGGGGAGGAAACAGG